This 68-nucleotide transfer RNA is filed under the name Cynoglossus zanzibarensis (Zanzibar tonguesole). RNAcentral's name for it is "tRNA-Asp". The record is from RNAcentral. Lineage: Eukaryota; Metazoa; Chordata; Actinopteri; Pleuronectiformes; Cynoglossidae.
AAGACUCUAGUAAAAUUAUUACAUUGCCUUGUCGAGACAAUGUUGCAAGUGAGACUCUUGCGUGUCUU